Molecule: ribosomal RNA, 235 nt
Filed under: uncultured bacterium
Lineage: Bacteria
Description: partial 16S ribosomal RNA
Rfam family: Bacterial small subunit ribosomal RNA
Source: RNAcentral
UGGCGGACGGGUGAGUAAUGUCUGGGAAACUGCCUGAUGGAGGGGGAUAACUACUGGAAACGGUAGCUAAUACCGCAUAACGUCGCAAGACCAAAGAGGGGGACCUUAGGGCCUCUUGCCAUCGGAUGUGCCCAGAUGGGAUUAGCUAGUAGGUGGGGUAACGGCUCACCUAGGCGACGAUCCCUAGCUGGUCUGAGAGGAGGACCAGCCACACUGGAACUGAGACACGGUCCAG